CGAUACGAGUUUGAUCAUGGCUCAGGAUGAACGCUAGCGGCAGGCCUAAUACAUGCAAGUCGAACGGGCUUAUGUUUUUCGGAAUAUGAGUUAGUGGCGCACGGGUGAGUAACACGUACAUAACCUACCUUCAAGAGGGGGAUAGCCUUGGGAAACUGAGAGUAAUACCCCAUAGUAUCAAGUUGCGGCAUCGUGAGUUGAUUAAAGCUGAGGUGCUUGAAGAUGGAUGUGCGUCUGAUUAGCUAGUUGGUGAGGUAACGGCUCACCAAGGCGACGAUCAGUAGGGGGCGUGAGAGCGUGGCCCCCCACACGGGUACUGAGACACGGACCCGACUCCUACGGGAGGCAGCAGUAAGGAAUAUUGGUCAAUGGAGGGAACUCUGAACCAGCCAUGCCGCGUGAAGGAUGACGGCCCUCUGGGUUGUAAACUUCUUUUGGAUGGGGCGAAAAAACGGGAUUUAUCCUGGACUGACGGCACCAUCAGAAUAAGCACCGGCUAACUCCGUG
Molecule: ribosomal RNA, 507 nt
Filed under: uncultured bacterium
Lineage: Bacteria
Description: bacterial SSU rRNA
Rfam family: Bacterial small subunit ribosomal RNA
Source: RNAcentral